AGGUGAUGGUGGUGAUGAGAUCCAGGAGGAACUUCUCGAAGUAGUUUAAAAGAUAGGGUAACAAUUUUUGGGCCUGUUCAUCAUGGGGAAGAGUCUUGGUGCAGCAGCGGGAGAUGGCUGGUUUACAGUGCAUCUGCAACCAAGUAGCAGAGAGUGACAGUUCCAUUCCGGAUCCUCCUGCCUGAGCCCUGGGUGCUGGGAUGAUAGGCUAUGUGUUUAUCUUCUUCUUGUGACUAUGUCCGUGGCCAGCAGGUCCUGACCAUCCAAGAUGUCAGAAGAUGAAGGCUACAGAUGAAUUGGAAGGAAGAAGAGAACCAGAGCCCCCCCCCCGGGGGGGGCGUCUAUAGACUUCUAAAGUGGUAUAGCCUAAUCCCUCCUCCCCCAUUUCUUCCCUCUUUCUGCCGUGGGUCUCAUCCUGAGGACCGGUGGCAAGCUAGCUUCCUGAGGAAAGCCGUGGUGCUGCUCCCUUGGCUGACCUUGAGUUUAUAUCUCCAUCCACUCGGUACCAGUAGGCCCAAGAGCCCAUAAUUAGCCUAAUAAGGUGUCUGUUGCGCACACGGCUGUGCCUAGACUCCGUUCUGAUGGCUACCUAGUAAUUUGCCUGAUCUUUCGGAUAAGGCCUUUGCCUGGACAGGUUCCUACCACAAAGCACCCCAUCUCAGGGUGGAGCAUGUAAUUGCUGCUGCUCUGCACACACUCUGCCUUCCCAUCUGCCCGGGGACUUAGGAGUCCUCAGAGGCCUGUCUUCACAUCAGGAAAACCCACUAAGCCGAGGAAGGUGCCAUGCAGGGGACAGGGCAGACCAAACAGACUGCAUUGCCGGCCAUUAGAAGGCAUGGAAGAAGAGACAGGCAGACCUAGCCAGCUGCUGGCCUUCGGUACUGUGGAAGGGAGUGGUGAGUGUCCAGGGGAUGCUCUCUCUGUCUGUGAGUCUGUCCCUCACUGUUCACUCAUAUUCACCUACAGCGCCUGUUUUAGGGACCCCGCAGGUGCCCCUACCCCAAUUCCACCUGCCGUAGAUAUGCAUUGGCUCCUGGGCCCCACAGGGAAGGAACUCUUCCCAGGGCUUUGAGGCCCUUUUGGCUUCCAGACCUCCCCAAGCACUUUGGUAUUUGCACCACAACAACACAUCCACAGCCUGCAAAGCCUGGAUACUGAUGUUAGAACAGGACUGUUGGCCCUGGAGGUCUAAGCAGGAGGCCAAAGAUGCUGUGGCCCACAAGCAAGAGGAUUAAUAGAGCACUGUCUCCAGCUCUUUCACCCAGGCAGCCCCAGGCAGUCCUGGGCUGGAAGAACUGGCAGUGGGGUGCUGCCCCUAUGGCUUCCU
Long non-coding RNA from Alexandromys fortis (reed vole), 1327 nucleotides. RefSeq lists it as uncharacterized. The transcript is spliced from 3 exons. The record is from RefSeq and is a predicted model, not a curated record. Lineage: Eukaryota; Metazoa; Chordata; Mammalia; Rodentia; Cricetidae.